This 497-nucleotide ribosomal RNA is filed under the name uncultured bacterium. RNAcentral's name for it is "partial 16S ribosomal RNA". It matches the Rfam family "Bacterial small subunit ribosomal RNA", at positions 28 to 507 of the family's 1533-position model. The record is from RNAcentral.
GAUGAACGCUGGCGGCGGGCCUAAUACAUGCAAGUCGAGCGAAAGGACGAGGAGCUGUGUCCUCUGCCGUUGGCGACGGGCGGAGGAGUAAGACAUGGAUCUCCUACUGAUAUGACUGGGAUAACAUCGGAAAACCGCUGCUACUACCGGAUAAUAUAUGGUACCGGAUGGUGCAAUAGAGAUUGACGGUUUUGGUGAUAGUCUUAGAUGGUUCCGGGCUGCAUUAGCUAGUUGGUAAGGUAACGGCUUACCAAGGCAACGAUGCGUAGCCGACCUGAGAGGGUGAUCGGCCACACUGGAACUGAGACACGGUCCAGACUCCUACGGGAGGCAGCAGUAGGGAAUGUUCGGCAAUGGGCGAAAGCCUGACGCAGCAACGCCGCGUGAGUGAUGAAGGCCUUCGGAUCGUAAAGCUCUGUUAUUGGGGAAGAACAGAUGUGGAAGUAGACAUGGACGUCUUGACGGUACCUAAUCAAAAAGCCCCGGCUAACUACGUG